This 514-nucleotide ribosomal RNA is filed under the name uncultured bacterium. RNAcentral describes it as "bacterial SSU rRNA". It matches the Rfam family "Bacterial small subunit ribosomal RNA", at positions 28 to 519 of the family's 1533-position model. The record is from RNAcentral.
GACGAACGCUGGCGGCGUGCCUAACACAUGCAAGUCGAACGGACCAUUCAGAAUAGCUUGCUAGGAAGAAUGGUUAGUGGCGGACGGGUGAGUAACGCGUGGGUAAUCUACCCUUGAAACGGGGAUAACACCGGGAAACUGGUGCUAAUACCGGAUAAACUUAUCACAAGGCAUCUUGAGAUAAGGAAAAGGAGCCUCUAUGCAUAAGCUUCUGCUCAAGGAAGAGCCCGCGUCCCAUUAGCUAGUUGGUAGAGUAACAGCCUACCAAGGCGACGAUGGGUAGCCGGCCUGAGAGGGUGACCGGCCACACUGGGACUGAGACACGGCCCAGACUCCUACGGGAGGCAGCAGUGGGGAAUAUUGCGCAAUGGGGGGAACCCUGACGCAGCAACGCCGCGUGAGCGAAGAAGGCCUUCGGUCGUAAGCUCUGUCAAGAGGGACGAAGUCUAGAUGGUAAUAGCCAGCUAGGUGACGGUACCUAAAGAGGAAGCCCCGGCUAACCUACGUAGCCACG